AUUGAAGGUGUUAAGUAAAUGCGAACUGCUUGGAUAAUAUUUUUAUUCUGUAUUGCCAGGCGAUGGAAUAUCGUUGAUUCAAACCAAAAUAAAUCUGGCACGUCGAACAUGAGACAGACAAUGUGUAUUUUAGUGAUGUUCGUGAGGAAAUGGAUGCAGAGGCCCACACAAAGUGUCAAUUCAUUCCAACAUGAGUGUGGCUUGUUAUUGUCGCAGACAUAAGAGUGAAACGGCGUGGGGGGAGCUUUUUCAAAAUCUA
This is a long non-coding RNA of Anopheles coustani, 259 nucleotides long. RefSeq lists it as uncharacterized. The transcript has 3 exons. NCBI's taxonomy places the organism in Eukaryota, Metazoa, Arthropoda, Insecta, Diptera, Culicidae. The record is from RefSeq and is a predicted model, not a curated record.